Long non-coding RNA from Sapajus apella (tufted capuchin), 156 nucleotides. RefSeq lists it as uncharacterized. Lineage: Eukaryota; Metazoa; Chordata; Mammalia; Primates; Cebidae. The record is from RefSeq and is a predicted model, not a curated record. The transcript is spliced from 4 exons.
UUUUUGGUCAAAACCAUUCAACAAAUCUCUAGGAAAGUCUAAACUUUCCCACGUCCUCCUGUCUUCUUCUGAGCCCUCCAACCUGUUCCAACCUCUGCGUGUUACCAGUUUCAAAGUUGCUUCCACAUUUUCAGAACAUAAAAGAGAAAAAAAAUG